UGACCUCGAAUCAGGUAGGACUACCCGCUGAACUUAAGCAUAUCAAUAAGUGGGAGAGACACACGCUCCUCUAUGAACACAUAAAAUAUGUGGAGGACCGGGUCAAUCCCCGGAGGACACGACCAUCCUCCGCGAAAUACUA
Molecule: ribosomal RNA, 142 nt
Filed under: Calonectria reteaudii
Lineage: Eukaryota; Fungi; Ascomycota; Sordariomycetes; Hypocreales; Nectriaceae
Description: partial 28S ribosomal RNA
Source: RNAcentral